Molecule: ribosomal RNA, 454 nt
Filed under: uncultured Methanolinea sp.
Lineage: Archaea; Methanobacteriati; Methanobacteriota; Methanomicrobia; Methanomicrobiales; Methanoregulaceae
Description: bacterial SSU rRNA
Rfam family: Archaeal small subunit ribosomal RNA
Source: RNAcentral
AACAGGUGGAGCCUGCGGUUAAUCGGACUCAACGCCGGGAAGCUCACCGGAUAAGACAGCGGAAUGAUAGCCGGGCUGAAGACUCUGCUUGACUAGCUGAGAGGAGGUGCAUGGCCGUCGUCAGUUCGUACUGUGAAGCAUCCUGUUAAGUCAGGCAACGAGCGAGACCCACGCCAACAGUUGCCAGCAUGUCCUCCGGGAUGAUGGGGACACUGUUGGGACCGCUCUGCUAAAGAGGAGGAAGGAAUGGGCAACGGUAGGUCAGCAUGCCCCGAAUUAUCCGGGCUACACGCGGGCUACAAUGGUCAGGACAAUGGGUAUCGACACCGAGAGGUGGAGGCAAUCUCCUAAACCUGUCCUUAGUUCGGAUUGUGGGCUGCAACUCGCCCACAUGAAGCUGGAAUCCGUAGUAAUCGCGUUUCAAAAUAGCGCGGUGAAUAUGUCCCUGCUCCUU